UCAAGCCUGCUUUAAGCUCAGAAGAUGGUCGGCUUGCGCCUGCACCUAUGAAAAACCAAGCUGCACCGCAUGCCGAAGACCAAACAACAGCACCUAACCUUCAGCAAUAACCGAGUUCAAAGCAAAACUCUGGUGUUUACAAGGUGCCGAGACAAUUAAACCAGUUGAGGAAGAAGCUGUAAGAAUGAAUCAUCCCCGUUAAGCUUGAUCCCAGAGGAAGGUACUACCCAUCAACUCUAAGCUGUUUGUAUACGACGCGAGCUAACCUCUCGUAAGUUGGCCAUUUCAUCCAUCACCCG
This 299-nucleotide unclassified non-coding RNA is filed under the name Hevea brasiliensis (rubber tree). Lineage: Eukaryota; Viridiplantae; Streptophyta; Magnoliopsida; Malpighiales; Euphorbiaceae. The record is from RNAcentral.